Pelobates cultripes (western spadefoot toad) is the source of this 1051-nucleotide non-coding RNA. The record is from the annotation of a GenBank genome assembly. Lineage: Eukaryota; Metazoa; Chordata; Amphibia; Anura; Pelobatidae.
GGGCAAUAAACCAGCGAGAAUUGCCUACACUACAUUGACCUCUACUGCAGGCAGAGGUGGACUGGGACUACCCCACCUCUAUAAGUACUAUAUAGCGGUGUUGCUCACUCGAUUGAAAGAGUGGACUGACACCACCAGGGUCAAAUCGUGGUACUCCCUGGAACAGAGCUUUGUACCUGUCCCACUAAAUUCCCUGCCCUGGCAAACUUGCCACCCCACAGCGCUCACCCCUACGAGACACCCAUUAAUACAUAACAUCCUUACUCUAUGGAGAAAGUAUAAAGAUAUAUGGGGCCUAUCACCUGGCUUAUCGAGAUUCUUCCCGAUAGCGACCAAUCCUGACUUUCAAGGGGGUCACGGGGGCCCUCUCCUUGCCCGCCUCCUAGACACCCCCACCCCAAAGAUAACAGAAUUGAUUGUGGGAGACCCACCCAUUAUUCAGACAAUAAGCAAUCCACGUAGGCAAGAUACACUCAUUGAGGUAAUAGGAAGAGCGCAACUUAAGACCUUCAUGAGAAGAACGGUCAUACCUUACUGGAGACAGAGAACAGACACACACUUUGAGACUCUUUGUGGCCCAGAGGGGGACCCAAAACGCCCCCUAUCUAAAAUCUACCACAUUCUGCAAGACUCUGAAAGGGAACUCAAAACUUUACCAUUCCAACAGAAAUGGAUGAAAGACCUCCGUAUACAUGUUUCUGACAAAGAUUGGUCGGAUAUCUUAGAAACAGGCAUCAAAACUCCGCUUAGCGUAGCACACAAGGAAGCAUUUUAUAAAAGGGUCACCCGAUGGUAUAGAACCCCAGAUAAGUUACACUCAAUCUGGCCAUCCAUCAGUGGUUCAUGCUGGAGAUGCUCUAAUGGCCGCGGUGACAUGGAGCACAUAUGGUGGAGUUGCAGAGACAUUCAGGGUUUCUGGUCUCUCAUACUCUCAACCAUCACAGGAAUACUAAAACCACCAUCACACCUAUCCCCAUCACAGGUUCUACUAGGCUGGCCCCGCACAUUUUCAGAACCUCACAAACAACAGUUACUACAACUCUUACUAGGG